CUUCCCGCCGGGUUGGGGGCUCAACCCCCUGCACGUGCUAGGGCGCCACGCAUAUCUCCGGAGCCUAAGACGCAGGAUCGCUAAUGUGCCCAGUCUCCAGUCCCCAGACUUUCCGCCUGGACCCCAGGGAGACCCCGAAGGACGGACUGUGAUGGGAAGAAGGAGGAUUUGAAAAUCCGAGCAUCUGAAUUCGGAGGUUCUGGCCGAGGAUAGAAGCCUCUGUUUCCGCAUCCGAGAAAUGGCAAUGUCUACACAGCCAUCCUAGGGUUGCACAGCGGCCACCACUGGCACCGACUGAUGUCAGCCCCUUUUCCCUCGAGGACGGCGGUGAGGCCAGAGUCCCCAGAUUUAGUGAGUGCUGCUCGCUGGGCUCGGACUCACGCUGGGUGAGAGCGGAGAGCCGGGAAGGGACCGGCGCGCGACCCGGACCCGCACGCAGGUCCUAGGUUCGCGGGUGGCCAGCAGAGCACCGACGAGGCGUCCUCACUGUUCUGAGCUCCUGCUGUGUCUUAGGGACAUACUCAAGUCACAUGACAAUUCUGUGAGGGUUUUGCAGAUGAAGAACCGGGCACUCGGUGUCCCAGCCCUCAGGAAUCUCCGGGUCCGGGGAUAGGGUGGGCGGACAAACCUGUACCAGUGCGGGCGGCUUGAAACCGGAGAUCCGGGUGGGGGUGCGGGGCAGGGGAAGACAACAGGACACCUGCUCUCUUCUUUUUCCUUACGGACUCAGAAUUCUUAGGAAAAAAUGUGCUUUUGUGUUGGAGGAGGGUGAGGUGGGGAGGUGGUAGGUGGGGCAGGAGGAAAAUAGCUCAGGCACUGACAGCAGAAUCCAGAUUAUAGAGUUUAAGAAGUUCAAACUCAGGCGCUUGGGUGGCUCAGUCCGUUAAGCAUCUGCUCCUGGCUCUGGCUUUUGGCUCGGGUCAUGAUCUCACUGUUGGUGGGAUAGAGCUCUGUGCUGUCAAUGCAGAGCCUGCUUGGGAUUGUCUCUCUUCCUUCCUCGCUGCCCCUCCCCCUUCUCUCACAAUAAAUAAAUAUAAACAUUAAAAAAAAUUCAAACUCCUCCUGCUCCUGCCCUCCUAGCUCACCUUGCCCCUUCCCUGCUGCCUGGGACCGGCUGUUUUUCUCAGCACCUUCAGACACACAGAAUCCCCUGUGCAAAUCAGACCCCAGUCGGAGAGGCAAGAAGGAUGCCACCCACCUCUGAUGGGAGCACCCCUCACCCCUGUUUCCUCUCCACCCCACCUCUUUUUCCCUCUUUCACCCUCCUCUUUCUUUUUAGUUAUUUAUUUUGAACUUUUUUUGAUAAGCAUGUUUUUCUGGAAUACAGUUUGGCACCAUGACACCUCAAACUGUAUUCUUUGUCUGUCUUGUCUAGAAGUAAUCCAGAGGAGAUGUGAACAGUGACACUUGAAGCGACAGGAAUCUAUGAUAUAUUAGGUUUGCUUUGGAUGUUUGUUAACUGGAUGGGUAGGUAGGUGUGUGGAUAAGGGCAUGAAUGAAUUCACACUAAAAGGAAAAAAACUUCAGGAGCACCUGGGUGGCUCAGUCGGCUAAGUGUCCACUUCGGUUCAGGUUGUGAUUUUGUGGUUUGUGAGUUUGAGCCCCUCUUCGGAGUACUGAUAGCUCAGAGCCUGGAGCCUGCUUCUGAUUCUGUGCCUCCCUCUCUCUCUCUGUCCCUUCCCACCCCCCUCAAAAAUAAAUAUUAAAAAGAGAUUUUUUUUNNNNNCCUGGGUGGCUCAGUCGGCUAAGUGUCCACUUCGGUUCAGGUUGUGAUUUUGUGGUUUGUGAGUUUGAGCCCCUCUUCGGAGUACUGAUAGCUCAGAGCCUGACGCGGGGCUCGAACUCACGGACCGCGAGAUCGUGACCUGGCUGAAGUCGGACGCUUAACCGACUGCGCCACCCAGGCGCCCCAAAAAGAGAUUUUUUUAAAAGGAAAAAAAUUUCAGCCCAACAGGUGUUCUGUUACAUAGUACAAAGGAAAGAAGGGUAGUUAUCCUGUGUUUUAAUUUAUGUAGUCAAAUAACGUGAAUAAUUGAGGCUACAAGUGGAAUGUUUGGGGUCUGAGCUAUCUAGAUGAAUCCUAAACAUAGGCUAAGUAAUCUGCUAUAUGGUAACUGUCAACUAAGCCCUGUAGUUUGUGCUGUAUAGAUAAUAAUAAUAAAAAAAACCCACAUCUGUUCAAUUGGCAACCUUCCUAGUUUGAGUGUUGGGCACCAUUUGACUCCAAAGUUUAGAAAAAUGACAGUUCCCAUUUUAUUUGGGUGUUUUGGCAUUGUUUAGUCACAGCCAGCCGGAAUCCUCCUACAUGUUGACCUGAGGGCUCUUUCUAGUUUCUAGACCUCUACCUGCAGUGGCCACCUCUCCCCUCUGCACACAGGAGCUCAUUGGCACCACGGAAUCAGAAGCAAACGGCAUCUACGCUGGGAACAAGGCUCCUAGAGACUGUCCUCCCUGCCAGUGCCUUGCUCUGGCCUCCCCUGGAUGCCAGUGACUCCCCUGUCCAAGUCACUGAGUUCAGUAGAUGCUUCUAGGCUUUGGUAAACCCGGCUGUUGAUAACUGUCAGAUCCCUACAAUCUCCAGAUUGACAGAACCUGUUGUUCCAGCCAAUCCCUUUCCCGGCCCUCUGGGUCUUGCCUGUCUUUGCCUCCCUGACUCUCCCACUUUCCCACACUUUCAUAUAAGUCAGCAAAUCUUUGAGAACAAAUAGCCUUAUGUAAAUAGGAGGGCUAGAUUAUGAGCUGUAUUGGUUAUUUGGAAAUCUAUGCUCUGGGCCUGCUAUCUCUUGAAGUUUUUUACAAGUCUGUUUUGAAAUUUCUAGACAUACGGUUGAUUUAUAUUUGUUGUUGGCUUUUUUUGUGGUUGUUUGGCUAUCAUUUUGUUCUUCAUUUCUUAUUUUAUUGCACUGUGGUGAGUGAAGAUGGUCUGAUUAGUAUUUUUGGGUGGGGGGAUGUGUUAAUAUUUCCUUUGCAGCUGAGCCUAUGGUCAACUGUGUGAAUGUGUAUUCUUCUCUUAAAAUGCAUGGGUCACCUGGGUGGCUCAGCUGGCCAAGUGUCCAACUUCAGCUCAGGUCAUGAUUUCAUAGUUCGUAAGUUCGAACCCCACAUCAGGCUUGCUGCUGUCAGGCUGUCAGACAGUGCAGAGCCCGCUUCAGAUCCUCUGUCCCCUCUCUCUGCCCCUCUCCUGAUUGUGCUUUCCCAAUAAAUAAAUAAAUAAAUAUUAACAAGAAAUACAGUUUCAGGGGUGCCUGGGUGGUGCAGUCAGUUAAGCAUCUGACUCUUGAUUUCUGCUCUGGUCGUGAUCUCGUGGUUUGGGAGUUUGAGCCCCGUAUCAGGCUCUGUGCUAGUGGCGCUGAGCCUGGUUGGGAUUCUGCCUCUCCUCUCUGUCCCUCCCCAACUUUUGCGCGCGCGCUCUCUCUCUCAAAAUAAGUACACAAAAACUUUUUAAAAAUGCAGUUCUGAAUGUUUCUAUUAGAUCAACCUACUGUGUUACCCAAAUAGUCAUUAUCCUUAUUUUUAAAAACUGAACUGCUUAAUAUUUUGGUUUCUUAGAGAAGCACACUGAAGUCUCCAGGGUAGUUUUUGGUCAGUUUCUCCUUGUACUUUCAGCAGAUUUUACUUUACACAUUUUGAAUCUAUGUUGUUAGAUGUAAAGAGCUUUAAGACUAUUUUACCUUUUUGUUGUAGUGUUUGUCAAUAUGAACUAUUUCCUCUUAGUUUUCUUUCACUUUGACUUCAACUUUAUUAUGUGAAUAUUAAUCGAUAUGUUAUUAAUAUUGCUAUAUCUUGAUAUGUUUGUAUAUUUUCCAGGUAUUAUAAGUGGAUCAAAAAGAAGCCACAGGGCCUCUGGCUGGCCCAGUCAGUAGAGCAUGCGACUCUUGAUUUCGGGGUUGUGAGUUUGAGCCCCACGAUGGGUGGAGAGAUUACUUUAAAAAAAAAAAAAGAUGCCAGAGUAACUCCUUCGCUUCUCAAAUCCAUACCCCUUGCAGUGUGACUUUGCAACUCCUCCCAUCAAAGGUGAGUGUGUUUUCUCACCCAUGGCACAUAGCUGGAGUUUAAAAAUCUCAUCUAGGGGCACUUGGGUGGCUCAGUUAAACAUCUGACUCUUGAUUUCGGCUCAGGUCAUGAUCUCAUGGUUUGUGGGAUUGAGCCCUGCGUCAGGCUCCAUGCUGACAAUGCAGAGCCUGCUUGGGAUUCUCUCUUUCCUCUCUCUCUGCCCUUCCCAUGCAUGCACUCUCUCUCUCAAAAUAAAUUAAUUAAUUAAAAAAAAAAUCUCCAGACUGAGAGCCUCUGUUAUUUAAUAGGUAGUCAACUCUUUCAUAUUUGUGUAAUUAUUGCUAUGUUUGUAUGUACUCCUGCCAUCUUAUUUUGGGUUUUCUAAUUGCCAUGCUGUGUUAAGUUUCCUAUUGCUGCUAAAACAAGUUACUACAAACUUAGAGGGGCUUACAAUGACACACAUUUAUUAUCUUACAGUUCUGUACAUGAGAAGUCUGAAUGGGUCUUGUGGGCUAAAAUUAAAAUAUUGUCAGAGCUGCAUUUUUUUCCUGGGGACUAGAGGAGAGAAUCUGUGUUCCUUUUCUUUCCCAGCUCCUAGAAGCCACCUGUGUUUCUAGGCUCAAGGCCCUUCCUCCAUCGCUAAAGGACAUCACUCAACCCUCUGCUCUCCUUGUCACAUCUCUCUCCCUGUGCUGCUCCCGCCUCCCUCUUUCCCUUAUAAGAACCUUUGUGAUUACAUUAGACCCACUCAGAUAACCCAGGAUAGUCCCUCCAUCUCUAACCUCUUAAUAUAAUCACAUCUGCAAAAGUAUCUUUCAUCAUGCAAGGUGACAUAAUCACAAAUUCUGGGGAUUAGGACGUGGAGGUCUUUGGUGGGGGGGUGGAUGGGAGCGUGGGGCAUUAUUCUGUCUACAUACAUUCCUUUUCUUUGUGUUCUCUUUUCUUUUCUUUCUUUCCUAGUUUAUCAGGAUGCUUGUGGCUGCGAGUAACAGACACCCCAGUUAAACAGUGGCUUAACCAACAGAGAGUUAAAGAAAGGCUCAGGUAACUGGAUACCCAGCGGGAGAAUGAGCCUGUGACUAGUGGUGUCAUCAUGGACCCUGAUUCUUUCCAUCCCUCAGAUCUGCUAUCUGCAGCAACAGCUUCAUCCCAAGGCUGCUUCCUUGAGGGGUCAAGGGAUGUAAAGUAUCCAUAAUUUUUCCUUUAGACCAGGGGUUCUCUACCUUGGCAUCAUGGACAUUUUGGGCUGAAUAAUUGUUGCAGAGGGCUGUCCUUUGCACUGUAGGUUGUUCAACACUUCCAUGGCUUCUCUCUACUACAUGCCAGAGCUCUUCUCCAUUGGGACAACCAAAAAUUUCUCUAGACAUUGCAAAAAGUCUCAGGGUGGGGAGGCAGGCAAAAUUGCCUGCAGCUGAGAACCAGGUGUGUUUACUGGUGAUCUAAAGCUCACAUGUCCACACCUGAACCAAUUAUUGGGGCAGAGGGAGUAGAUACUCUGAUUUAGUUAAUUAAGAUUUGUACUUGAAGCUGGAGAUGGAGUAGGCAGCCCCCAGAGUCUGUGGCCAUGGGGGAGGGGUGGGAUCCUCACACAAAACUCUGGCUCUUAAGUGGAAAGUAGUAAAUGAUGCUUGGGAGAUAGCUAGUCAUGUCUAUGAAUCUGGCUUUUGAUUAUGUUUUCUUGGAUCCAUUUCUCCUUCUACAUUCUAUUCCUAUGUAUCUAUGGGUUAUUCUUUAAAGAUAUGCACUGAUUUAAAUUUGUAGAUUUCUAAUUAUGUGUAUUUUUUUUAAGCUUAUUUUUUUUUGAGAGAGAGAGCAGAGGUGAGGCAGAGAGAGGGGGGGAGAGAGAAUCCCAAGCAGGCUCCACGCUGUCAGCAAGGAACCUGAAGCAGGGCUUGAACUCAUGAACUGUGAGAUCAUGACCUGAGCCAAAGUUGGGCACUUAACCGACUGAGCCACUCAGGUGCCCCAAUAAUAUGUAUUGUUAAACAGCAUCUAUAUCUACCCCUAGAACCUAAGACAAGAACAAAGGAAUCUGGGCAAGUUUUAACUUCCUUCUGGAAUUCCCUACUGGCAACUUCUUUGUUGAUUUUGUUUAGAUCAUUAUUUAAAAAUUUUAUACAGGCAAUACUUAGAUGUCUUAAUUUUUUCCUAAUGUAUUAACUUGCUAUUAUUUCUUAUAUUCCAUACAUUUUGGGGGGAAUUAUUCUUUGUGUAUUUGUGUGUGUGUGUGUGUGUCAUUCUUCAGAUCUGGGAAAUUCUUGUGGUUUCUUUUUUAAUUUCUUUUUAACAUUUAUUCAUUUUUGAGAGUGAGAGAGACAGAGCAUGAGUGGGGGAGGAGCAGAG
This 6336-nucleotide long non-coding RNA is filed under the name Lynx pardinus (Iberian lynx). The record is from RNAcentral. Lineage: Eukaryota; Metazoa; Chordata; Mammalia; Carnivora; Felidae.